This 274-nucleotide ribosomal RNA is filed under the name uncultured bacterium. Its description in RNAcentral is "partial 16S ribosomal RNA". It matches the Rfam family "Bacterial small subunit ribosomal RNA", at positions 523 to 796 of the family's 1533-position model. The record is from RNAcentral.
AUACGGAGGGUGCAAGCGUUAUCCGGAAUCACUGGGUUUAAAGGGUGCGUAGGCGGCCUGGUAAGUCAGAGGUGAAAUACACGAGCUUAACUGGUGAAUUGCCUUUGAAACUAUCAAGCUAGAAUUAUGUUGAGGUCAGCGGAAUGAGUCAUGUAGCGGUGAAAUGCAUAGAUAUGACUUAGAACACCAAUUGCGUAGGCAGCUGGCUAGGCAUUAAUUGACGCUGAGGCACGAAAGCGUGGGGAGCGAACAGGAUUAGAAACCCUGGUAGUCC